RNAcentral lists this ribosomal RNA (863 nucleotides) under Stachybotrys chartarum. Its description in RNAcentral is "eukaryotic LSU rRNA". It matches the Rfam family "Eukaryotic large subunit ribosomal RNA", at positions 1 to 895 of the family's 3401-position model. The record is from RNAcentral. Lineage: Eukaryota; Fungi; Ascomycota; Sordariomycetes; Hypocreales; Stachybotryaceae.
CGUUGACCUCGGAUCAGGUAGGAAUACCCGCUGAACUUAAGCAUAUCAAUAAGCGGAGGAAAAGAAACCAACAGGGAUUGCCUUAGUAACGGCGAGUGAAGCGGCAACAGCUCAAAUUUGAAAUCUGGCCCCAGGCCCGAGUUGUAAUUUGCAGAGGAUGCUUUUGGCGCGGUGCCUUCCGAGUUCCCUGGAACGGGACGCCAUAGAGGGUGAGAGCCCCGUCUGGUUUGGAUACCAAGCCUUUGUAAAGCUCCUUCGACGAGUCGAGUAGUUUGGGAAUGCUGCUCUAAAUGGGAGGUAUAUGUCUUCUAAAGCUAAAUACCGGCCAGAGACCGAUAGCGCACAAGUAGAGUGAUCGAAAGAUGAAAAGCACUUUGGAAAGAGAGUUAAACAGCACGUGAAAUUGUUAAAAGGGAAGCGUUUAUGACCAGACUUGGGCCGGUUAAUCAUCCAGCGUUCUCGCUGGUGCACUUUGCCGGUCCAGGCCAGCAUCAGUUCGCUGCGGGGGAUAAAGGCGUCGGGAAUGUGGCUCCUCUGGAGUGUUAUAGCCCUUCGCGCAAUACCCUGCGGUGGACUGAGGUUCGCGCAUCUGCAAGGAUGCUGGCGUAAUGGUCAUCAACGACCCGUCUUGAAACACGGACCAAGGAGUCGUCUUCGUAUGCGAGUGUUCGGGUGUAAAACCCCUACGCGUAAUGAAAGUGAACGCAGGUGAGAGCUUCGGCGCAUCAUCGACCGAUCCUGAUGUUCUCGGAUGGAUUUGAGUAAGAGCAUACGGGGCCGGACCCGAAAGAAGGUGAACUAUGCCUGUAUAGGGUGAAGCCAGAGGAAACUCUGGUGGAGGCUCGCAGCGGUUCUGACGUGCA